UUAGCUCCUUUAAUUUAAUUUGAAGAAAAAUUAGAGGCUAAAAAUGGCGGAAAGAUCAGUAACAUUCAUGAGAAUAAUAUUGGUGACAAUGUGGCUAUUGAUGCUUACACAACCAAUAAGAGCUAAUCUUAAGUGUUGUCAAAAAUGCGCUAUUACCUGUAGAACCAUAGGAGGAAUCAACUUUACAUGCUUGCAUAAUUGUCUUUCAAAAUGUGGCGGAUGCAAUACCUCCCCAAUUCCAGGUAGAUCUUCAUAUCUCUAUAAUAUAUUUCUGUAAUAUAUAUAUUGUGUGUUUAUACAUUCAUUCAGAUAUAAACUCAACUUUUAAUAUAUAUAUAUAUAAAUUGUAGGUGGUUAUGGUUAAACAUAAUAUUUAAAUUCAACUCAAUUUGUUGUAAUUUAAAUUUUUUUGUGAUUUGUAUCACGUGAUGUAAUUUAAUUUUUCUAUAUUGAAUAUUGCAGGUGUGGAAGAUGAAGAAGGAACUUUCAAAAUAAACACAUGAUAUUAGUUUAAAAUAAUUCAUGAAGUAUUAGUACUUGAUAGAUAUCGGUUAUAAUAAAUUUUGUUUGAUAUUUAUGUUUUUGGUGAAAGCCUUUAUUUGGCAAUGGAACAU
RNAcentral lists this long non-coding RNA (614 nucleotides) under Daucus carota (carrot). RNAcentral describes it as "long non-coding RNA (DCAR_LNC006417)". Lineage: Eukaryota; Viridiplantae; Streptophyta; Magnoliopsida; Apiales; Apiaceae. The record is from RNAcentral.